GGGGUCGACUGGUUUUGACAGCAGGUUGUAUUAAACGGUAAGCACGUCGUGUAAUGACUUUGAAACACGUAAAAGGCUAAGUCAAAAUUUAAACGGCGAGAAUAACUACGCUUUAGCUGCAUAAUCUGAAUUAUAGUAAGAUUAGCCUCGUCCUACAAGGUAGGAAUGCUAAAUGUCUCUUGAAAGCCUUGGUUAACGGCGUUCUAAUUAGAGACAUCGUAAAAGUAAACCUAGAAUAGUAUAUGCUUUGGAUAUUAUUUGAAACUAAAAAAGCUAAGUUAUAAAUAGGCUGUUUUUUGUCAGUUUAUAAUCAAAAAUAAAUAAAAAACUAAACGUGUAGAAAGCUCUUUGGUAGCUUGUUUGGACCCGAGUUCGAUUCUCGGCGACUCCACAU
Molecule: transfer-messenger RNA, 394 nt
Filed under: Flavobacteriaceae
Lineage: Bacteria; Pseudomonadati; Bacteroidota; Flavobacteriia; Flavobacteriales
Also listed under: 1 other name
Description: AU392 sp003443635 Standard tmRNA
Rfam family: transfer-messenger RNA
About the family: Bacterial tmRNA, also known as 10Sa RNA or SsrA, is named for its dual tRNA and mRNA-like properties. Its role is to liberate the mRNA from a stalled ribosome.
Source: RNAcentral